Molecule: transfer RNA, 40 nt
Filed under: Ctenophorus fordi
Lineage: Eukaryota; Metazoa; Chordata; Lepidosauria; Squamata; Agamidae
Description: partial tRNA-Leu
Source: RNAcentral
ACUUUUAAAGGAGGAUAGUAAUCCAGUGGUCUUAGGAGCC